RNAcentral lists this ribosomal RNA (742 nucleotides) under uncultured bacterium. Its description in RNAcentral is "bacterial SSU rRNA". It matches the Rfam family "Bacterial small subunit ribosomal RNA", at positions 8 to 796 of the family's 1533-position model. The record is from RNAcentral.
AGAGUUUGAUCCUGGCUCAGAACGAACGCUGGCGGCAGGCCUAACACAUGCAAGUCGAGCGAGACCUUCGGGUCUAGCGGCGGACGGGUGAGUAACGCGUGGGAAUAUGCCCUUUGGUACGGAAUAGCCUCGGGAAACUGAGAGUAAUACCGUAUGUGCCCUUCGGGGGAAAGAUUUAUCGCCAAAGGAUUAGCCCGCGUUGGAUUAGGUAGUUGGUGGGGUAAUGGCCUACCAAGCCUACGAUCCAUAGCUGGUUUGAGAGGAUGAUCAGCCACACUGGGACUGAGACACGGCCCAGACUCCUACGGGAGGCAGCAGUGGGGAAUCUUAGACAAUGGGGGCAACCCUGAUCUAGCCAUGCCGCGUGAGUGAUGAAGGCCUUAGGGUUGUAAAGCUCUUUCAGCUGGGAAGAUAAUGACGGUACCAGCAGAAGAAGCCCCGGCUAACUCCGUGCCAGCAGCCGCGGUAAUACGGAGGGGGCUAGCGUUGUUCGGAAUUACUGGGCGUAAAGCGCACGUAGGCGGACUGGAAAGUUGGAGGUGAAAUCCCAGGGCUCAACCUUGGAACUGCCUUCAAAACUAUCAGUCUGGAGUUCGAGAGAGGUGAGUGGAAUUCCGAGUGUAGAGGUGAAAUUCGUAGAUAUUCGGAGGAACACCAGUGGCGAAGGCGGCUCACUGGCUCGAUACUGACGCUGAGGUGCGAAAGUGUGGGGAGCAAACAGGAUUAGAUACCCUAGUAGUCC